This 71-nucleotide transfer RNA is filed under the name Actinia tenebrosa (Australian red waratah sea anemone). RNAcentral's name for it is "tRNA-Gly". It matches the Rfam family "tRNA". From Rfam's summary of the family: Transfer RNA (tRNA) molecules are approximately 80 nucleotides in length. RNAcentral also lists the same sequence under 1 other name. Lineage: Eukaryota; Metazoa; Cnidaria; Anthozoa; Actiniaria; Actiniidae. The record is from Rfam by way of RNAcentral.
GCACUGGUGGUUCAGUGGUAGAAUACUCGCCUGCCACGCGGGUGACUCGGGUUCGAUUCCCGGCCAGUGCA